This 5816-nucleotide long non-coding RNA is filed under the name Sus scrofa (pig). RNAcentral describes it as "lncRNA (ENSSSCG00000056485.1)". The record is from RNAcentral. Lineage: Eukaryota; Metazoa; Chordata; Mammalia; Artiodactyla; Suidae.
UAGUAUUAUGAUACCCAGCAGCCCCAGGCUGCUUCCAAACUGCCACUUCCUUGUGUAUCCUGACAGUGGCUGCCCUCACCCUGAUCAGAUGCAGGGCCAGGUUCUAGAAGGCUCUACCCAUGCUUAUAUGCACACUCUCAUCAGCAACAGCAACCUCUGCCUUAGUGUAGAGUUGGACCAAAGCAAGAGGGGCUAGAACAGGCACCCAGUGCAAGCUGGGUGAAUAUUGGGCCAGUUGCAGGAAACUAGCAAAAGCAUCAGGUUUUCAGUCUGCUUCCUUCAACUUUUUCCUAGGAGUAAGCAAGCCUGUGUGCUCUUCAUGAACAGAAUAUUGAUUUCUUACAGUCUUCUGGUAAGUCCCCACUGGUUUUCAACCAGCCAAGGGGGCUCAUCUUCCCAGUGUUAGACCCAGGACUAUGGUGCCUAAUAUAUGGCUUGAACCUCUCACUCCCAGGAAGAACCACCCCCUCCAGUCUAUGAUCUCCUCCUCCUCUUCUGUGUCCCCUGCUAGGGGCACAGUUCUGACCUGAUAACUUCUCCUCCCUUUUUAUCUGACUCUGUGUGGAUUUUUCUUUACAGCCUUGCUUAUAGAAGAGGUUUUCUGCCAACCUCCAGUUUAUUUUCAGUGAGAGUUGUUCCACAUGUAGAUGUAUUUUUGAUAUAUUCCUGGGGGUUGGGGAGACAGGUAAGCACUAAAUCCUCCUACUCCACCAUCUUGAUCUCCCUCCAAGACAUUUUUUUACAUGACAAAGAUAAAAGAAUCUGUCUCUAGGAGACCUCCACUACUACAAGUUCUUCAGCCUGAAGGGAAAUGUUAGUAAGGGAAAUAAUGGAUGCUUUCUCUUAAGAAAGGAAUGAAGAUGAAUUUAAAUUUUUUUUUGUCUUUUUAGGGCCACAUCUGUAGCACAUGGAAGUUCCCAUGCUAGGGAUUGAAUCCUAACUGCAGCUGCUGGCCUACCACAGCAUGGCAACACCAGAUCAGAGCCACGUCUGUGACAUAUGCCAAAGCUCAUGGCAAUGCCAGAUCCUUAACCCACUUUGCAAGGCCAGGGAUCACACCUGCACCCUCAUGGAUACUAGUCAGGUUCAUUAUACUGAGCCACCAUGGGAACUCCUAUAUUUAAAUUUCUUUAAAAGACUAUGAACUAUUGCAAAUAAAAGAUAAUUUAGACAAUAUAAUGUGGGAUUUAUAGCAUAUGUAGCAAAGGUGUGGAUAUACUCUUAUAAAAAACUGUCAUGUUGUUUAUGAAAUAGUAUAUUAUUUGAAGGGAAGCUUAAAACUACAUCACUAGAGAAACGCUAAUGAUAUAACUAAAAAGUUAAUAUAGGAGAUAAAUUUGAAAACAUUGGAAUUAAGGUCCUCAUACAGAGGAAGCCAGAAAAGGAAACACAGAGAAAAAGAAAUGUGGGAUAAAUCCAUAACAUGAUAAAAGAAUUAAGCCAAACUGUAACAAAAAUUAUAUUUCAUGUUGUGGACUAAACACAAGUCAAAAAUUCUUGCACUGAUAAAAAGCAAGAUCCAACCCACUUUGAAUAUAAAGACAGAGACUAGUUGAAAAUAAAUACAUUGAGAAAAAAGCUACACCAAGUUUUAGUUCCAAUGGAGAAAAAGCUUAGGAACUCAUAUGGAGGUUCCCAGGUUAGGGGUCUAAUCGGAACUGUUGCUGCAGCCACAGCAAUGCCAGAACCAAGUCGCAUCUGUGACCUACGCCACAGCUCAUGGCAAUGCUGGAUCCUUAACCCACUGAGCAAGUCCAGGGAUUGAACCCACAACUUCAUGGUUCCUAGUCAGAUUCAUUUCCACUGCACCAUGACAGGAACUCUGAAAACCAGUUACUUUUCAUGGCCUAAUUAGAGCACUGAGGUCUCAAGGCAAACAUAUCCCAAAAUCUAAGAAGUCAGGAGCAUCUAGGGAGACACAGUCUCCAAGAUCUGUUUACCUAGACAGAAAUGCUAGAGCCAUAAUACACUGGCUGGGAAUAUUUAAGGAGUAAUUUUGACUAAUUUCUAGAUACCAUGUAUGGGGGAUUCAAGUAGUAUAAAAUAAAUAUCCAUGAGUCCAUACUUAUAUAAAUAAAUACAUAAAUAAGAGAGAAGAGACAAAUCUCCCAUGCAUGAAACUAAAACAAUUUGUACAGAUAUUCUGCCAAAGGAGGUAUAGAGUAAUUCCUCAUUCUAUAUAUGUAGGCUGUACCUGGUGAUUUCCUUCCACAGAGGACAGAUGGAAAGGUAGAGGGGGAAGAAAAAGAGGAAUGUUUUAGUGGAGAAACCUGACAAACACCACAUCAGACAGGUGAUAAAUGUCAACAUAAAUAGUGAUAAAUUCUGUUGAUAGUGUGUAUUUUUGAUAUAAUGUAAUAAAAAUGGCACAUUUCUUCUGUGGUCUUCCUGUCCAAAAUCCAUAACCACAGCCUAAUCAUGAGAAAAACUUCAGACAAAUCCCAGAUGAGAGACAUUCUACAAAAUGACUGACCCGUAAUCCUUGAAACUAUCAAGGCCAUCAAAACAAGUCAGAGAAACUGUCACAACCAAGAGUAGCCUAAGGAGAUCUGUCUUCUAAAUAUAAUAUGGUUUCCUAGAUAGAAUUCUGGAAGAGAAAAUAGAUUUUAAGGAAAAAUUAAAGAAAAUUGAAUAAAGAGGGACUUUAGUUAAUAAUAAUAUAUCAGUAUGAAUUGAUUAAUUGUGAUAAAUAUACCAUACUAAUAAAAGAUGAUAAUAGGGAAAACUGGAUGAGGGUUAUAAUGUAACUCUAUACUAUCUUUUCAAUUUGCCUAUAAAUCUAACUCUAAAAUAAAAAUCUUAUUUAAACAACACAAACAGACAAUAACAAAGAGUAGUAGAUUCCAGAAUGGCCUGAUCACGUGAAAGGAGACAUAACUGUUAGGAGAGAGAAGACUGAAUUCACAGGUCAAAACAAUAAAGAAGGUGGCUGGGGUAAAGCCAAUAAAAAUAUUUUUCUUUCACUUUCCCCAAACUAAAGAUGAUUUAAGAACUAUCUUUAGUUUCAUAUUAGGGUUUUUCUUCAAAAGUUGAGCAGGGAAAAGAAUGAUUAACAUUUUUACUGUACUUUAUGAGAGAUUAUCAAGUCAAACUGAAACACUGAGAUUUACUACACAUGUCAUGUCUAAACUUUAUAAAAUUGGUAUAUAGGAAAUAAGCUGAGAUGGGUGUGUGAUAGUGUGUCUAUUCCAGCACAGGAAUAGACAUCAUGUGAGGGGAGGGUGCUCUUACAGAGUAGGAAGGUUCAUGGUGGAAAAAUCAUAAACCCAGGAGCUCGGCAUUGGGAGGAAAAAAAUCUUAACCUUUUGGCAAAUUGUGAUGAAAAUUUUUUUCUUAAACAUACCACCUUCUCUUUUCAAACAGCCAGAAUACAUAUUUCUUUUAGCCUCAGUGAGAGUAAAUAAGCAGCCCAGAUAAAAUUUUAUUGCAACAGUAAGCCACAAUCCAACUAUAUGGAAAGCAAAAUCACUUUCAGUAUCCCAGCAUAAUAAAACAGAGUUAAAAAAAAAGAAGAUAUAACAUGCAGAUCCUAAGCUCAAGAAAAAUAGCAUGAGAUCAUUAAAAAAAAAACCCUUCAAAAAAAUGAAAAAAUAUAUUUAGAAUAAUGUACAAUAUUUUCUAAUGAUAAUCAAUUUAACAGUAAGACUUUAAUAUUUUUCCCCCUUGGGAAUUUUUUUUAAUUUUUAAAAUUUGUUAUUAUGAUUGAUUUACAAUAUUCUGUUAAUUUCUGUUUCACAGCAAAAGUGACCCAGUCAUAAAUAUGUACACAUUAUUUUUCUCACGUUAUCCUCCAUAAUGUUCCAUUGCAAGCAGUUAAAUAUCUAGUUCCCUGUGCUAUACAGCAGGAUCUCAUUGCCCAUAUACUCCAAAUGCAAGAGUUUUCAUUUACUAACCACCAAUUUCCAAUCCAUCCCAUUCCCCUCCCUCCCUCCAGCAAACACAAGUCUGUCCUACAUGUCCAUGAUCUUUUCUGUUUUCUUGAUAAUCAUUUGUGCCAUAUUUUAGAUUCCACAUAUAAGUGAUAUCAUAUGAUAUCUUUAUGUCUUUUUCUGACUUAUUUCAUUAAGUAUGAGCAUUUCUAUUUCCAUCCAUGUUGCUGCAAAUGGCAUUAUUUUGUCUUUUUUUAUGCUGAGUAGUAUUCCAUUGUAUACAUGUACCACAUCUUCCUAAUGCAUUCAUCUGUCAGUGUGCAUUUAGGUUGUUUCCAUGUCUUGGCUCUUGUGAAUAGUGCUGUGAUGAACAUACAGGUGCAUGUAUCUUUUUCAAUGAAAUUUUUGUCUGGAUGUACACCCAGGAGUGGGAUUGCUGAAUCAUAUGGUAGUUGUAUAUUUAGUUUUCUGAGGUAUUUCCAUACCAUUUUUCAUAAUGGUGUACCAAUAUACAUUCCCACCAACAGUGUAGGAGGGUUCCCUUUUCCCCACACCUCCAGCAUUUGUUAUUUGUUGACAUGGUAGUGAUGGUCUCUCUAACUGGUGUGAGGUGGUACCCCAUUGUAGUUUUGAUUUGAUUUCUCUAAUAAUUAGUGAUGUUGAGCAUUUUUUCAUGUGUCUCCUGGCUAACUGUAUGUCUUGGAGAAAUGUCUGUUUAGGUCUUCUGCCUGUUUUUCAACUGCAUUCUUUAUUUUUUGUUGUCAAGUUCUAUGAGUUAUUUGUAUAUUUUGGAUAUUUAAACCUUUAUCAGCUGAGCCAUUUGCAAAAAUUUUUUCCCAUUCUAUAGGUUGUCUUUUCCUUUUUAAAAUAGUUUCCCUUACUGUGAAGAAGCUUUUGAGUUUAAUUAGCUCCUAUUGAUUUAUUUGUGUCUUUAUUGUCUUUAUUCUAGAAGGUAGAUUAAACAAGAAGUUGCUGUGAUCUAUGUCAAGCAGCAUUCUCCCUAUGUUUUCCUCUAGGAGUCUUAUAGUGUCUGGGCUUACAUUUAGGUCUUUAAUCUGUUUUGAGAUUAUUUUUGUAUAUGGUGUUAGACAGUGUUCUAAUUUCAUUCUCUUACAUGCAGUUGUCCAGUUUUCCCAGCACCAUUUACUGAAGAGACUAUCUUUCCUCCACUGUAUGUUCUUGUCUCCUUUGUCAUAGAUUAAUUGACCAUAGGUGUUUGGGUUUAUUUCUGGGUUUUCUAUCCUAUUCCAUUGAUCUUUAUUUCUGGUUUUGUGCUAGUACCAUACCAUCUUGAUGACUGUAGCUUUGUUGUAGAGUCUGAAGUCAGGGAGCCUUAUUCCUCCAGUUCUGUGUUUUCUCUUCAAUAUUGCUUUGGCUAUUUGAGGUCUUUUGUGUUUCCAUGCAGAUUUAAAAAUGUUAUGUUCUAGUUCUGUAAGGCAUGUCAUUGGUAAUUUGAUAGGGAUUGCAUUGAAUCUGUAUAUUGCCUUAGAUAGUAUUGUCAUUUUGAUUAUAUUGAUUCUUCCAAUCUAAGAGCAUUGUAUAUUUUUCCAUCUAUUUGUAUCUUCUUUGCUUACUUUUAUCAGUGUCUUAUAGUUUUCAGAGUACAGGUCUUUUGUCUCUUUAGUUAGGUUAAUUCCUAGGUAUUUUUUUCUUUUUUAUGCAGUGGUAAAUGGGAUUGUUUCCCUAAUUUCUCUUUCUGAUCUUUCACUGUUAGUGUAUAGAAAUCCAUUCAGGAGUUCCUGUUGUGGCUCAGUGGUUAAAGAAACCAACUAGGAACCAUGAGGUUGUGGGUUUGAUCCCCUUGCUCAGUGGGUUAAGGAUCCAGUGUUGCCAUGAGCUGUGGUGUAGGUCACAGACACGGCUUGGAUCUGGCAUUGCUGUGGCUCUGGCAUAGGCUGGCAGCUACAGCUCCAAUUAGACCCCUAGCCUUGGAACCUCCACAUGCCA